UACGUAGGUGGCGAGCGUUGUCCGGAUUUACUGGGCGUAAAGGGAGCGUAGGCGGACUUUUAAGUGAGAUGUGAAAUACUCGGGCUCAACUUGAGUGCUGCAUUUCAAACUGGAAGUCUAGAGUGCAGGAGAGGAGAAUGGAAUUCCUAGUGUAGCGGUGAGAUGCGUAGAUAUAUGGAAGAACACCAGUGGCGAAAGCGGCUCUCUGGUCUGUAACUGACGCUGAGGUUCGAAAGCGUGGGUAGCAAACAGG
Molecule: ribosomal RNA, 253 nt
Filed under: uncultured bacterium
Lineage: Bacteria
Description: partial 16S ribosomal RNA
Rfam family: Bacterial small subunit ribosomal RNA
Source: RNAcentral